This is a non-coding RNA of Hemibagrus wyckioides, 72 nucleotides long. The record is from the annotation of a RefSeq genome assembly. NCBI's taxonomy places the organism in Eukaryota, Metazoa, Chordata, Actinopteri, Siluriformes, Bagridae.
GCAUUGGUGGCUCAGUGGUAAGGCUUCUUGCCUACCAUGCGGAAGGCCCGGGUUCGAUUCCCAGCCAAUGCC